UUUUUUUAAGAGAAGAUGAUUUGAUGGAGAUGAGUGCCUCGGAACCAGUGCCAGAUAAUGGGGAAGGAGACCGAGAAUAAGCAAUGCCAGAAAACAAGUUGACGUUAGACUAUCUGGCAGAAGGGUUCUGAUUGUUUAAGACUGCUUUGGUUUUCUACAACAUGGAUCCUUUUGUGAAACAGGCACUGAAACUAAAGCAGAUGUUCGAAAAAGUAUUGGUACCAUAGAGAAACAGUUUUAAAGAAAUGAAAAAAAAGUCACACAGAAAUUAUGAUGUAAUUCCAUAAAGUCACAUCAAGUGUGCUUGCCUCUCCUCUUCCACCUCUGCCACUCCUGAGACAGCAAGACCAACCCUUCUUCUUCCUCCUCUGAGCUCAGCAGCCUACUCAUUGUGAAGAUGAUGAGGAUGAAGACCUUUAUGAUGUCACUUUCACUUAAUGAAUAGUAAUAACCAUCAUGCUGUACAGUCAAUAAAUUAUGUACAUGUCUUCAUAUGAAAUCCCAAGAACUGCAGGACAAGAACUGUGAGAGGUCUUUCUGUGUCACCAUUACCAGCAUCACUCAAGUGCUCACCAUGGAGAACACUGCAUAGGAGACUGGUAUGGAGGUGGACAGCCCACCCUCACAUAGGCAUAAGCGGCCCUGCUGCUUCUAAGUACACCUGCAGACUAUCUGCCAAGGACUGUCUGGCUGGAAACUUGGUUAUUUGCUGCUACUCUCCCUAUUUAAUGCUUUAAUCCAUAUAUAAAUAUCUCUUCCCCCCAAAAAACAUCCACAUCUCUAUGAACACAGUGAUUAGCAUAAAAUUCAGAGGUUGAAAACCUGUUGAAAUCUAAGCGAGCUUUCCAGGCCUGGCUUGUACAACAUACCUGUGGAUUUUAAUGAUUGUAACGACACGCUUUGCAAACCUUUUGCCCAAAUCUCCAUUUGUUUUCAAAUGACACCUGUGAUGCAGCACUUUCAGUACUGAAGCAGCUCAGAAAAGGUGGUUAUCACCGGCCUACCACGGCUGUUCCUCCUCGUACUAAGCCUCAAGGGUGGAUGGAGGGGGCCGUGGGAAGCCCCGGAAACGCUGCCAGACGCGUGAAAACCGGGAUUAUGACCACAGUCGCCGCCAGAGUUCACUAUUUACCAAGCUCCUGCAGAGAUGCACUGACAGGUGCUUCCGUUUUCACGGGUUUCCACCCUCUGGGUGUACACCUGGAUCACCUGGGGAGCUUUAAAAGAAAAAAAUCCGUAGCCCGAAGCCCGCGCCCUGGCCGUGGCGAGGCGGCUGAUCUCGGCAGGGCUGGGCCGGGGCGUCGUUACGGCCCCGAGGCCCCGGUGCUAAGGUGCUCGCAACCCCUUCGGGGUCGAUUACAGACGCCCGUGACAGUCCGACGGAAGCUAGGGACCCCCUCCGUAAAAUAAAACACGAAUAUUUAAGUUCA
Molecule: long non-coding RNA, 1430 nt
Organism: Canis lupus familiaris (dog)
Lineage: Eukaryota; Metazoa; Chordata; Mammalia; Carnivora; Canidae
Exons: 2
Source: RefSeq, a predicted model, not a curated record